RNAcentral lists this ribosomal RNA (376 nucleotides) under uncultured bacterium. RNAcentral describes it as "bacterial SSU rRNA". It matches the Rfam family "Bacterial small subunit ribosomal RNA", at positions 523 to 898 of the family's 1533-position model. The record is from RNAcentral.
AUACGUAGGUGGCAAGCGUUGUCCGGAAUUAUUGGGCGUAAAGGGAGCGCAGGCGGGAAGGUAAGUCGGUCUUAAAAGUGCGGGGCUCAACCCCGUGAUGGGAUCGAAACUAUCUUUCUUGAGUGCAGGAGAGGAAAGUGGAAUUCCUAGUGUAGCGGUGAAAUGCGUAGAUAUUAGGAGGAACACCAGUGGCGAAGGCGACUUUCUGGACUGUAACUGACGCUGAGGCUCGAAAGCCAGGGGAGCGAACGGGAUUAGAUACCCCGGUAGUCCUGGCCGUAAACGAUGAAUACUAGGUGUGGGAGGUAUCGACCCCUUCCGUGCCGGAGUUAACGCAAUAAGUAUUCCGCCUGGGGAGUACGGUCGCAAGACUGAA